GAAAAUCCCGCCUUGGGCCAAUCCCUAGUUAAAAUUUUGCAGAAGGUGAAAAUGGAGUAAAUGGAAGCAAGUAUUCUGUUUAAAGACUGGCUCCUCCAUAACUUACAAGUGUGAGCAUUACAUUCUUUCUUCUUCCCUUUGUGUCUUUUUGUCUUCUCUGUAUAUUACGUUAAGAUAUGGAUAAGAUACAUCUUUUAUGUAAUUCUCAAGGUCAUGUGGUCACUUCAUUUUUUGCAAGUUGUGCAUGCUAAUUAUUUUUACAUGUGGACUUGUAAUAAAUUAGGUUAAUGUUGGCUGUUCUGUGGUUAUUGUGAUUAAUUAAUUCGAUUUAAAUUACUCAUUUAAAAAUAU
Molecule: unclassified non-coding RNA, 351 nt
Filed under: Hevea brasiliensis (rubber tree)
Lineage: Eukaryota; Viridiplantae; Streptophyta; Magnoliopsida; Malpighiales; Euphorbiaceae
Source: RNAcentral